UUUCGUUACAGCAAUUUUUCA
RNAcentral lists this non-coding RNA (21 nucleotides) under Caenorhabditis elegans. Lineage: Eukaryota; Metazoa; Nematoda; Chromadorea; Rhabditida; Rhabditidae. The record is from RNAcentral.